RNAcentral lists this long non-coding RNA (956 nucleotides) under Olea europaea subsp. europaea. Lineage: Eukaryota; Viridiplantae; Streptophyta; Magnoliopsida; Lamiales; Oleaceae. The record is from RNAcentral.
GGGACUUAGUUGCCAAACCAAACCAUCAAACUAUUAUUGGUACUAAAUGGGUUUUUGGAAACAAAGGAGAUGAAAAUAGAAUAAUUGUGCGUAUCAAGGCUAGAUUAGUCUUCCAAGAUUAUAAUCAAGAAAAAGGUAUCGAAUUUGAAGAAACAAAUGGAGCUUAAUUGCUAGACAAAACCAUUCACAUGUUUCUUGCAUUUGCAUAUAUUUUGUGCUCGUUUUUCCAUAUAUCUUCCAAAACAUUGAAUCCAAUGCACCAAACAUGAUUCCACCUUCAAGACCAAGAUAAAAGUUGUUAUUUGGCUUGUUAACGUCAACAUUUUGUACUCCAUAGCUUGAUCAAGUAAUUAGACGACUUUAUUGGCUCUUCGAGGUCUCGAACUUAGCUCGAUUCUUUGUCUUGGCUCCUUAUCAACAUGCGCAGAAUCCUUUAGCUUCUUAAUAAUUUUUGACCCCCUCUCCGGAUCACAUCACAACAUGAAAAUAAGGACGGAGCAACAUAAUUCAGGAACUCAUUCCCUUUAAUGAAAAUAUGUAAACUAAAAAUAAAAAAAUAAAAUAAAAUGGAGCAUUGUAAUGAUUUUGUUAGCUUAAUAAAAUUAAGUUUACUUUUAUAUUCAUAUAAGGUGCUAUACAAUCUUGGAGUUAUUGCAUAGCUCUCUUUGGCCAUCUUCAUCUUGGUGAUUGCUUUCUUUUCAUUUGGAUAACUUGAUUUUUCAUUCUCAUAAUAAUGAAAACAGAUUAAUUUUUUAAGUUCAUUUGUAACUAUUUUAAGGUUAAUAAAUCAUUCGCGAUUAUAUACAUAUCCUCAUUCUAUUUUUCCACUGGAAGAUAAUAAUUCUUUUCAUUAUACUAAACAUUCAUUAGAAAUAUAAUUAUGAUUAUCCCAAGAAUGUGUUUCCACACACUCUGAAGUUAUGCCGAACUAAUGAUGCGUGCCAAGGGCAUAUAUG